Molecule: ribosomal RNA, 614 nt
Filed under: Salmonella enterica subsp. enterica serovar Oranienburg
Lineage: Bacteria; Pseudomonadati; Pseudomonadota; Gammaproteobacteria; Enterobacterales; Enterobacteriaceae
Also listed under: 1 other name
Description: partial 23S ribosomal RNA
Rfam family: Bacterial large subunit ribosomal RNA
Source: RNAcentral
UCAUCUCCGGGGGUAGAGCACUGUUUCGGCUAGGGGGCCAUCCCGGCUUACCAACCCGAUGCAAACUGCGAAUACCGGAGAAUGUUAUCACGGGAGACACACGGCGGGUGCUAACGUCCGUCGUGAAGAGGGAAACAACCCAGACCGCCAGCUAAGGUCCCAAAGUCAUGGUUAAGUGGGAAACGAUGUGGGAAGGCCCAGACAGCCAGGAUGUUGGCUUAGAAGCAGCCAUCAUUUAAAGAAAGCGUAAUAGCUCACUGGUCGAGUCGGCCUGCGCGGAAGAUGUAACGGGGCUAAACCAUGCACCGAAGCUGCGGCAGCGACACUCAGGUGUUGUUGGGUAGGGGAGCGUUCUGUAAGCCUGUGAAGGUGGCCUGUGAGGGUUGCUGGAGGUAUCAGAAGUGCGAAUGCUGACAUAAGUAACGAUAAAGCGGGUGAAAAGCCCGCUCGCCGGAAGACCAAGGGUUCCUGUCCAACGUUAAUCGGGGCAGGGUGAGUCGACCCCUAAGGCGAGGCCGAAAGGCGUAGUCGAUGGGAAACGGGUUAAUAUUCCCGUACUUGGUGUUACUGCGAAGGGGGGACGGAGAAGGCUAUGUUGGCCGGGCGACGGUUGU